UACUUGAAAAUCAGUAUUACUUUGUUGAAAAAUGGCACAAAAUUAAAUGAGAACUAUAACGGAAAUAGUCAUGACAUGUGCCCGUACUUUUUAAUAAUUAUGUAUCAUUCAUUGGAAACAUGGAUUCAUCGGGAUGUCACGUACACAUCGCAAUUAUAUAUCUUCCUAUGGUAAAACUAUGAUAUUCGUUCCAGUUAGUUAAUAAUGUGUGUGUGUCACAAAAAAGAAUGUGCAGAUCUUUUAACAUCCGAGCGGCAACCAUGUUGAACUUCCUCUAAACUGUCCGCGAGUGAUUUAUUACCUAAAUUUAUAAGUCCAUUUAUUUGAGUUUUUUAUUGAACCUGGGUGGUAAAGUGAUUAGAUCCAAUUUCUAUAGUCAGAUGAUAGACGAGCAGCAAUUUCCUAAUGUUUGCCAAUAGGUUAUCAGAUAAAAUUCAAGAAAACCAAUUAUCUCGGCCAUCAACCGGUAGAAUAGAAGACAUGCAAUAGUUUUAUUGCAAUUUAAUAUUCAAUAAAAUGAAAAAAAUGAUUCAAUAAAAACAAAAGUUCAUAUAAA
Long non-coding RNA from Armigeres subalbatus, 556 nucleotides. RefSeq lists it as uncharacterized. The transcript is spliced from 3 exons. The record is from RefSeq and is a predicted model, not a curated record. Lineage: Eukaryota; Metazoa; Arthropoda; Insecta; Diptera; Culicidae.